Molecule: transfer RNA, 73 nt
Filed under: Maritalea porphyrae
Lineage: Bacteria; Pseudomonadati; Pseudomonadota; Alphaproteobacteria; Hyphomicrobiales; Devosiaceae
Description: tRNA-Cys
Source: RNAcentral
GCUACUUGUAGCUCAAGUGGACAGAGCGCGUGUGCAAAGCGAGGUUGCGGGUUCGAGCCCCGUCAAGAUAGCU